Molecule: long non-coding RNA, 512 nt
Organism: Nothoprocta perdicaria
Lineage: Eukaryota; Metazoa; Chordata; Aves; Tinamiformes; Tinamidae
Exons: 4
Source: RefSeq, a predicted model, not a curated record
GCCUGAAAAUAUACUCCUUUUUAGAGUUUGUCUUAACUUCACUGCCAACACUAUGUAAUAUGAAGCAUAACAAAGCAAGGUGUAUACUGAGAGGGACGGAAAAUGAAGCUUUACAUGGUCUCCCAUCCUCCAUGCCCCCCAUACUUGGGGUAUCAAGAUGGCCUCAUUUAAAGAAAACUUCAUAGAACUGAAAACUUUGAAACAUGCAGAGAGGUAAACAAUAAGUGAAUUUUCUGGUCCAAACAGAGUAAUAAUGAUUCCUCUGGAAAUGUAGACUUGCCAGUGGCAUUUGUUCCUUACACUAAUGAAUGGAGAUAACUGAGACUUCUUGUUCCAACACACACACUUUGACUUAAGGAGAACAAAUUCACAAAGUGAUGGAUUUCUGCUCUGCAACAGUUUCUACAGCUUCGAACACUUUAAAUUUAGGAACUUAUGUCUAUUCUUGGAGAUGAGCAAAGAUGUCCAUCAAAAAUUGUGACAUGAACAUUUUAAAUUAGCUAAAAUAUAGA